This is a long non-coding RNA of Canis lupus familiaris (dog), 6327 nucleotides long. RefSeq lists it as uncharacterized. The transcript has 3 exons. Lineage: Eukaryota; Metazoa; Chordata; Mammalia; Carnivora; Canidae. The record is from RefSeq and is a predicted model, not a curated record.
GACUCCAGGAUCACACCCUGGGCUGAAGGCAGACGCUUAUCUGCUGAGCCAUCCAGGGAUCCCCUUAUCCAGUCAAUUUAAAACAGAGCAAGGGGCAUGCUUAAUUGGAGCCCAGCUGCAAAGACAGCAAAAAUUAGGAGUGGGUGCCCUCCAACCCAGGUGCCUCCUCACCAGGGAGCCCUCCAGGUUGAAGGUCUGAGCAUUCUGGCACAGCAGCAUGACGUCCUUCUCCAGGUCAUUGAGGCUGCGGUACUUGUGGUUGCGGAUGCGUUCCUGUGGGUGAUGGGAGAGGCAGCCUUAGCUUGGGAAUUUGCCUUGUGCCCAGGGACCUUGAGGCCAGGAAUCCCUUUGCCUCAUAAGGUCAUGGGCCCAGUCUUUUGGGUGCUUCUGUAGACUUGGAAGCCUGGGCCCACUGAACACAAGAGCUGCACUGCUGAAGCUUAGGCCAUGGAUAACCCUGAAGGAGCUCUGAGGAAUCCCAAGAGCCUGUGACUAGGAUCCCGGCCAGACAGCCCAGGCUCUGCUCAGUCUGCUCUGUGGUCAUCUUUCCCAUGCACCCCGGGGGGGCCCAUAUUGGGGAGGGACUGGGUCAGAUUCCCCAAACAUCCCUGUAGAGAAUCCCCACUUCCCACAUCUUAUGCCAGGGUUACCUUUAUCUUCUUGAAGUCCACAGGCUUGCGGAUGAGCUCGUAAUACUCGGGCAGCUCCUUGCGGGAGGGCAGCUGGAUGAACACCUCGCUGAGCUGACGUCCACUACUACUGCAAGGUGGGACACAGUGGGCGUCACUCACAGGCCCUGCCUGCUGGGGGAGCCCCCACUUGGCCACCACCCAUUGCUUGAGGAAUGAGAAAUUCAAAGCACUUUGGAGUUAUUUCCUGUACAUGUACUGUCUUGUGAGUUCUGGAACAUUCUUGAGAGGAAAACAUGCAAAGAGAGGCCAGGAAUGCAUUUGAACGCAGGCUCUGCCCUCAUCCAACCUCCAAAGCCCCUGGAGGAAACAUUGCCAAAUGCUGUGCAAUAGAAGCCUUGGCACUCCAAAGAGGUAGAAUCAUGAUUACACCUAUGUACUUUGCAAAAAUCAGUUUGCUUAUGGUGGUUGGGAGCAGUAAGUGCCAGUUCUCAAAGAGAGACCAGUUUUUGCAAGUUUUGCAAGCAUGUCUCUCAUAGGCAGCACUUAGGAGCAGUGAACUUCAGAGAAUUUGGCAAAACCCGUGGAGGAGAAAUGCCCCCUGGAAAGACCCUAGCGGAAGACCUGAGCGGUUUUCUAGUUCUUGCAAUUGGGAAAGUACUGGUUUUUCACGAGGGAGCAGAGAAAAGACACUGUGAGCAACCCUGAGAUGUGGCAGGGUCUUAAGUGUUGUCUCCUGGGCCUCACAUAUGCAGGUGCCGUGCACUUGGCCACCAGGCUGUGCCACGUCCAGGUCUGGAUCUGUCUGGGGCCAGGAGCUUGAAGGGACAUCACUCCUCAGGCCUCCCUGAGGAGAGAGUGAGCAGGCACUUCAAGGACUGGCAGACAGGAGAAGACUACUCUUAUGAGUACAGUCUCUCUUUUUGGAGACUGGAGACAGGGACCUGGCCCCAGGGGUCCAGGCUGCCGGUGAGUUGGUCAAGGCCCUGCUCCAAGGCUUGACUACAAGUGGCUUGCCCUCCCUUAUCUGUGACCAGCUGGAUACAACAUGGGGCACGAUGUGGCUGAAAACACAAGCUGGAAGGAAGGGGGAGGCUGACACCCCCACUUCACACUGGGAAAAAAGGCUGGAAGGCAGAGGCCCGAGGUGGGCUGUGUCUGGGCAGGAACAUGUGUAUCAAGUAUCCAGCACACAGAAGGACUGAAUGGUGGUAUCUGUCUAAAGCAAGCAAGGUGCAGGACCAGAUUCCAGCUCCUGUCUGUCAGGCUUGCAUCUCAGGAGACCCCAGCUGUGGGAAGGGGCCCAGGGGUCUCACAAUGCACAGGAAGCCCAAACAGGCAAAAAGCUUCUGGGAUCCCAGCCGGGAGCAGCCUCGGGGAGGCAGUCCUAGCAAAGCUGCUCCUUAAUGCAAUCGUGACAUUGGGAGCAUCCAGCAUCCAGCCAAAACCCAAAAUGCCCUCCCUGGAGUAGCAGGCUUCCCUCCUCUCUGGGAAUAGGCUGGUGGGCGGUUUGGCCAAAGACAACUAGAGCUUGUUUACAUGAACUCUGAAAACGAGAAUUGGUAGCAGAAGGCACUGGACAUUCUACCUGGGACAGGCAGACCUGAGCCGCAAGCCACCACUCACCAACCUCCAUGUCCUACUGCCCCCCAACCUUCUCGGAGCUCCCCCUUCUCAUCUUGACAGCACUAUCAUGAUACUUUUGACCAUGAUGCACAGUGGAGGUCACAUCUUUCACUCUGAUCCAGGACAUAUACCUACAACCGUAAAGUACUAGAAGUUUCCCUGCACAGGGGUCUCCCUUGCUAAGUAAGAUGAACCGUUUUCUCCACUAUUUCACUUUUUAGAAAUGCCAGCUGAGCCACUAAAUUCAUUUUGCUGCUCACUAAUGGGUGUGGAGUGUGCUCUGCACAGUGCUAAGACUGGGCUCUCCAGGUCACACAUUCUUGUGCUCCUCUGUGGCAUCCAUGAAGGGCCCGGCCCUCGAGGGAGCUCACAAAGUGGAACACUAGUACUGGAAUAAAGUGGAAAGUUUUGUAAUAAAACUCACUCACCUCCAUCAGUCUAAAACUGUGGCAGACAUGAAAGAAUGGAAAGCAACGGGGUCCCUCUUACAAAACUUUGGAAUAGUGGCAUCAUUGAGGAAUACAGACCUAUGUGGUCACUCUAUGCCUGACUUCACUGGUGCAAUGAGCUCUGAGCAUGGAUGGCCUGGAACCGGGUGCACGUGAUGGAGGGACAGGGCACCAAGACGAUGGCGGACUUUUAGAGCCACCUUUUCUCAGACAGCAAAUCCACUGCCAUAAAGUUUUAGUUGCCAACAUGCCGAGAUGUCACUUUUAAUCCUUGGAAGUCCUCUGGAAACCCCACCCCACCCCACCACCAGGCGCUGCUGCAGCAGGCUUGGGGCCUAGAGCCUUCCAGGCUUGCUCACCAGCCCUCCUCACCUCUGUGGACUUAGAGGUGGACAAGUCACAGCUGCCUACCUCACAGGGAAUAAAACAGAGUCUCUCUGGUGGCAGCUUGGCCCUCCAGGACGGGCUUCCCUGGUGUCUGACAUCAGCAUCCCUCUCUCCUACUUCCUCAGAAUCAUCAAAGCCACUGCUCCUCGGGAAGCCCAGCUGCAGCCCUCACAUCGCCUCAGAGCAAAUGUCAGCUCCCCCUAAGUUCCCUGUAACCCUCACUCCCCGCCCCUCACAGAGAGUAAUCAUAAGAAUGUGAUGAAAGAUAAAGGCAUGGAUUUUCAGUGCUCAGCUCCUUGAGGUAGGCCAGGCCUCUUCUUGAACUUGAUGUUAUGGGGUCAUGCACGGUCAGCUCCCAGGUUUGACCUCCUCCUUCAUCCCUGUAGGCACAUGCAGCACCAGCUCACUCAACUCAAGAGCUGCCUUAUGCCCUGUGGUGGGCACAUGCCACACGGUUCGCUUGUCCAUUUUCUGCUGACUGGUACCCAGGUGUGCUGGUCUUGAGUAUCAUGAAGCAAGUGGCCGCAGAUGCUCACGUCCAACUGUUGGCUUGCACUUCUUUUGGGAACACGCCUGGAGGUGAAAAUGCUGGAAAGCAUGGCAGGGGCGCUCAGCUUCAGUAGCCGCUGAGCCCCUGCUUACCCUUCUGCCAUUGGAUGGGCUCUUCUCAUCCUAUCAGCUUCACUUGCUGUCACUCCUUGUCGGUGUAGCUGUUCUACAAUCUGGGUACAAACUGGUAUCUCCUUGUGAUUUUAAUUCACAAUUCCUUGAUAAGCAGUGAAACGUGACACCCUUUCAUAGAUGGAAUGGCCACCUGAUGACCUCUUUUAGGCAGUAUCCAUUCACAUCUUUAUCCUCCCUCAGACAGUCCUUCGUUGGAUGUGUUUAUUAUAAAUGCCUUUUCCAGUCUAUGGCAUGUCUUCUUACUUUCUUGAUGGUGUCUUUGGGUGAUAAGAUCUUAGUUGUAAUCAAAUUCCAAUUUACCGAUAUUGCCUUUUAUACUUGCUGUUUCUCCUGUCUUGUCACAGAGGCAUUUUCUUUUAGAAAGGUUGACAAUUCAACUUCUUUAUAUUAUUAGAUAUGAAGCCAGUCACCUAGACUGGUGUCUGUCCAUGGCAGCUGCCAUUUCUCCUACCAGAGCCCAUGUGGCUGUGUCUUUACUGAACCAGAACACAAGCCCCAAGGACAGAGACCUUGCCUGUUUUAUUUUCUGCUCUCUCUCUGGCACCUGGUACACCAUAGGUGCUCAAUAAACAUUUGCUGAUUGAAGGAAGAAAUAGCUCAGGGUGAAAGUUUCAGGGUCGAGGAACAGGGUUCAAACUUGGGUGUCACAAAGGUCAUCUCUGAAUAAGGGUGCCUCACUGCCCUCAACACUGCAUGGUUGUUUAUACACGACCCUGUUCCAGAAAAGACUGGCAGCAACUACCAGGAAACCCCCUGCCCUAAGAGAGCACUGCUGUGUGCCCAUAUCUGCCUCCUGUCUUAUGAGACUUGCUCUGAAGAAGCUUCUGCAGGCAGAGUGGUCUGGAACUGUCUCUGUCCUGGCUUUGUGUCUGGCUGCCCUGGCAGAAGUGGGGAUGGAAGUAAAGGAGUUUGAGAAAAUCCUGAGGCUGUGAGGAACAGACCUGUGACCUCCAUUCAGACUGAAGCCUGGGCUGUCACCCGGUUUGGCAAUAAGGGCAACAGCAGCCACUGCCACGCAUGUGUGUGACAAAGAGAAUGAUGAGGAUGCAACUCUCCUGCCUCCAGACGCCAGCUCCCAGAGCAGGAAUUUCUUUCUACCUUGUUCACUGCCCUGUCUCCAUUACAGUAAGACAGGAGACAGUUGGGACCCAGAGUGGUCAAGCCCUUUGCCUGAAGGCCCAAUUCCUCCCAAGUCUAGCCCGGUUUUGUGGGCCAUCCCAUCUCUGUCACAACUACUCAACUCUGCCACGGUUGCACAGAAGUAGCCACAGACAAGACACAGAAAAGAGGACACACUUGCUGAAAUGCACAAGCACUUUAGAAGGAUCUCACGCAGGACUGUGAGGAAGGUGGAGGGUGCAACUUGUUCACCCAAAAUUUAUUUCUGGGAUCCGGUGUCUGUACCCGUCCUGUUUUGAGCUUAUAUGUAAUUCUAGUUUUAAGACCGUUCCUAGACAGCCGUCCUGUUUUCUUUGGUGUGAUCCAACUGCACUGUGGCAAUACAUCAUCAGCAGGGAAUGAAGUCUAAGGGUGGAACCGGCAGGAUGACAAACAAGGCAGAUGCAACUUCAUCUAGCAAAGUUGGUGGUGGCCUCAGAACUGCACAACUCGACAAGGCUGCUGGGGCUAAUCCUUCUGUGGCUUAGAGCCCCAUUGGGCCCUCAGCCUGGCCUGCAUCUACAUCAGGUUGGCCUGGGCCUUAAUGAUAGGUAUCAGCACUUUUCUUAAGACCUAUCACCUUGCUGUUUCUCAGGACAGGCUCUCGGCUGAGUGCCAAGCAGAAAAUGCUGACUCUAGACCCAGACCCAGAGGGCUAGCUUCUCCUCUUGAAGUGGGUCCAGUCUGAGGUUGGGCUCUAGAGGAAGGGCUGUACAGCUUUCCAAUGGCUGAGGCUGGAGAAUCCUGAGGCCUCUCUGAUCCCCUCUGAAAGGGCUCCCAGGCUGCUCACCCUUUACUCUUUUCCCUCAAGGGGACUGGAGCCACUGGCAGUUAAUUACCUUUCCUGGGGAAUGCUUUAGCCAGACAAACUUUCCUGGGGCUUGCUACAUUGCCUGUUUUUGUCACAAAUCAACGUACAAACCUUUCAACUCCCAAGAGUCAUCAGCUCUCUGAUUCUCAAUAGGGAAACACAGGGCCCCUGUAAAGGUAAGGGGAAAGUGCUAACAAGUUUUAGGUAGUGGCUGCCAGGCCCAGGCUGAGGCUGCCAUCACAGAUGUGGCCAGGGCCCUUCAUCAUCUACAACGCUAAGUUUAGGGCUGGUUUCUAGGCGGCAUGCCUGGCCCAUGAUCUCUCAUUUGGGGGUCUCUAUAAUUCCAUUUGGGGGAUUCUACUUCUAUGCUGAGGACCCAGAAACCGAGGCAGGGAGAUGGAUGGUAAACCCAGAUCUCUGUGAUACUCAAGCCUUCAGCUCUUUUAAAGCUGCUGCCUCGGGCAGCCUGGGUGGUUCAGUGGUUUAGCACCGUCUUCAGUCCAGGGCAUGAUCCUAGGGACCUGGGAUCGAGUCCCACGUCAGGUUCCCUGCGUGGAGCCUGCUUCUCCCUCUGCCUGUGUCU